GUGAGGAAUAUUGGACAAUGGGCGCAAGCCUGAUCCAGCCAUGCCGCGUGCAGGAAGACGCAUCUAUGGUGUGUAAACUGCUUUUGUACGGGAAGAAACACUCCCUCGUGAGGGAGCUUGACGGUACCGUAAGAAUAAGGAUCGGCUAACUCCGUGCCAGCAGCCGCGGUAAUACGGAGGAUCCAAGCGUUAUCCGGAAUCAUUGGGUUUAAAGGGUCCGUAGGCGGUUUAAUAAGUCAGUGGUGAAAGCCCAUCGCUCAACGAUGGAACGGCCAUUGAUACUGUUAGACUUGAAUUACAAGGAAGUAACUAGAAUAUGUAGUGUAGCGGUGAAAUGCUUAGAUAUUACAUGGAAUACCAAUUGCGAAGGCAGGUUACUACUUGUGGAUUGACGCUGAUGGACGAAAGCGUGGGGAGCAAACAGGAUUAGAUACCCUUGUAGUCC
Molecule: ribosomal RNA, 445 nt
Filed under: uncultured bacterium
Lineage: Bacteria
Description: partial 16S ribosomal RNA
Rfam family: Bacterial small subunit ribosomal RNA
Source: RNAcentral